RNAcentral lists this ribosomal RNA (301 nucleotides) under uncultured bacterium. RNAcentral's name for it is "partial 16S ribosomal RNA". It matches the Rfam family "Bacterial small subunit ribosomal RNA", at positions 509 to 809 of the family's 1533-position model. The record is from RNAcentral.
CAGCCGCCGCGGUAAUACGUAGGUGGCAAGCGUUGUCCGGAAUUAUUGGGCGUAAAGGGCUCGCAGGCGGUUUCUUAAGUCUGAUGUGAAAGCCCCCGGCUCAACCGGGGAGGGUCAUUGGAAACUGGGAAACUUGAGUGCAGAAGAGGAGAGUGGAAUUCCACGUGUAGCGGUGAAAUGCGUAGAGAUGUGGAGGAACACCAGUGGCGAAGGCGACUCUCUGGUCCGUAACUGACGCUGAGGAGCGAAAGCGUGGGGAGCGAACAGGAUUAGAGACCCCUGUAGUCCCUGUCUCUUAUAU